UGAGGAAUCUUCCGCAAUGGGCGAAAGCCUGACGGAGCGACACCGCGUGAAGGAUGAAGUCUUUUUUAGAUGUAAACUUCUGUUCUGAGGGACGAAAUUUUUUGACGGUACCUCAGGAGAAAGCAUCGGCUAACCCUGUGCCAGCAGCCGCGGUAAGACAGGGGAUGCAAGCGUUACUCGGAAUUACUGGGCGUAAAGCGUCUGCAGGUGUCUUAGGUAGUCUACGGUCAAAUGACGGAGCUCAACUCCGUCCGUGCUGUGGAAACUCCUAGGAUUGAGCCAUUCAGAGGCAUCUGGAAUGUCGUGUGGAGGGGUAAAAUCCGUAGAUCCACGAUGGAACGCCGAAAGCGAAGGCAGGAUGCUAGGAAUGUGCUGACACUCAGAGACGAAAGCGUGGGGAGCAAAGGGGAUUAGAUACCCCCGUAGUCCCUGAGCGGGCUGGCAAGGCGCAU
Molecule: ribosomal RNA, 452 nt
Filed under: uncultured bacterium
Lineage: Bacteria
Description: bacterial SSU rRNA
Rfam family: Bacterial small subunit ribosomal RNA
Source: RNAcentral